GAUCCUGGCUCAGGAUGAACGCUAGCUACAGGACUUAACACAUGCAAGUCGAGGGGCAGCAGGACGAUAGCUUGCUAUUGUUGCUGGCGACCGGCGCACGGGUGAGUAACGCGUAUCCAACCUUCCCUUAGUAGGGCAUAGCCCGGUGAAAAUCGGAUUAAUACCCUAUGUUGUGUCAUGAGGACAUCUGAAUAACAACUAAAGAUUUUAUCGACUAAGGGAUGGGGAUGCGUCCGAUUAGGUAGUCGGCGGGGUAACGGCCCACCGAGCCCUCGAUCGGUAGGGGUUCUGAGAGGAAGGUCCCCCACACUGGUACUGAGACACGGACCAGACUCCUACGGGAGGCAGCGAGUGAGGAAUAUUGGUCAAUGGGCGUAAGCCUGAACCAGCCUAAAAGGUAGCGUGCAGGAUGACGGCCCUAUGGGUUGUAAACUGCUUUUAUACGGGGAUAAAGUGAGGGACGUGUCCCUUAUUGUAGGUACCGUAUGAAUAAGGACCGGCUAAUUCCGUGCCAGCCGCCGC
Molecule: ribosomal RNA, 522 nt
Filed under: uncultured bacterium
Lineage: Bacteria
Description: bacterial SSU rRNA
Rfam family: Bacterial small subunit ribosomal RNA
Source: RNAcentral